Lepisosteus oculatus (spotted gar) is the source of this 433-nucleotide long non-coding RNA. RefSeq lists it as uncharacterized. Lineage: Eukaryota; Metazoa; Chordata; Actinopteri; Semionotiformes; Lepisosteidae. The record is from RefSeq and is a predicted model, not a curated record.
CUGUGAAGCGCUUUGAGUGGAGUGCCCAGAAAAGCGCUAUACUGGGACCCCCAUGCGGCACCUGCUCAGGACUCGUCUGUUUGGACAGUGUCUGUGACCUCUUCGCUCUCAACUACAUCCCUCAGUAUCUCUGACAUAGUGUUGCCCUCAUGUUUUUUAUUCUCAGACUGGUAAUGGAACAUGCUGAUUGCUCUUUCUGUAAACAUGGAAUACAUACCGAAACAGUGUUUAUAUUACUGCUCCGUAUCUAUGCAAUCUGUUUUGGUACUUUGUUUCAUUUCGAGUGGCACUUGUGUUGCUCUUCCAGUUUGUGCUUGCCUUUUUAUCCCAUUAUUAGUCUCUAACUUCCUCGACCUAGAGGAUUAAUCCUUGUGCGUAAUGUACAUUUUCUAUAUUGCAAGGGCAUAUUGUAAUAAUAAACAACUGCGCUGUA